RNAcentral lists this ribosomal RNA (274 nucleotides) under uncultured bacterium. Its description in RNAcentral is "partial 16S ribosomal RNA". It matches the Rfam family "Archaeal small subunit ribosomal RNA", at positions 473 to 747 of the family's 1478-position model. The record is from RNAcentral.
AAACCAGCACCUCAAGUGGUCAGGAUGAUUAUUGGGCCUAAAGCAUCCGUAGCCGGCUCUGUAAGUUUUCGGUUAAAUCUGUACGCUCAACGUACAGGCUGCUGGGAAUACUGCAGGGCUAGGGAGUGGGAGAGAUAGACGGUACUCGGGAGGAAGUGGUAAAAUGCUUUGAUCUCUCGAUGACCACCUGUGGCGAAGGCGGUCUACCAGAACACGUCCGACGGUGAGGGAUGAAAGCUGGGGGAGCAAACCGGAUUAGAAACCCCGGUAGUCC